AAACUUAAAGGAAGUUGACGGGGCCGCACAAGCGGUGGAGCAUGUGGUUUAAUUCGAAGCAACGCGAAGAACCUUACCAGGUCUUGACAUCCCCUGACAACCCGAGAGAUCGGGCGUUCCCCUUCGGGGGACAGGGUGACAGGUGGUGCAUGGUUGUCGUCAGCUCGUGUCGUGAGAUGUUGGGUUAAGUCCCGCAACGAGCGCAACCCUCGACCUUAGUUGCCAGCAUUCAGUUGGGCACUCUAAGGUGACUGCCGGCUAAAAGUCGGAGGAAGGUGGGGAUGACGUCAAAUCAUCAUGCCCCUUAUGACCUGGGCUACACACGUGCUACAAUGGGCGGUACAAAGGGUCGCGAACCCGCGAGGGGGAGCCAAUCCCAAAAAGCCGCUCUCAGUUCGGAUUGCAGGCUGCAACUCGCCUGCAUGAAGAUGGAGUUGCUAGUAACCGCAGGUCAGCAAUACUGCGGUGAAUACGUUCCCGGGUCUU
Molecule: ribosomal RNA, 486 nt
Filed under: uncultured Anoxybacillus sp.
Lineage: Bacteria; Bacillati; Bacillota; Bacilli; Caryophanales; Anoxybacillaceae
Description: bacterial SSU rRNA
Rfam family: Bacterial small subunit ribosomal RNA
Source: RNAcentral